Molecule: ribosomal RNA, 491 nt
Filed under: uncultured bacterium
Lineage: Bacteria
Description: partial 16S ribosomal RNA
Rfam family: Bacterial small subunit ribosomal RNA
Source: RNAcentral
GAUGAACGCUGGCUACAGGCUUAACACAUGCAAGUCGAGGGGAAACGACGGGGAAGCUUGCUUCCCCGGGCGUCGACCGGCGCACGGGUGAGUAACGCGUAUCCAACCUGCCUCUGACUGAGGGAUAACUCGUCGAAAGUCGGCCUAAUACCUCAUGGCAUCGUCUGCGGGCAUCCAACGACGAUUAAAGAUUUAAUCGGUCAGAGAUGGGGAUGCGUCUGAUUAGCUUGUUGGCGGGGUAACGGCCCACCAAGGCGACGAUCAGUAGGGGUUCUGAGAGGAAGGUCCCCCACAUGGGAACUGAGACACGGUCCAAACGCCUACGGGAGGCAGCAGUGAGGAAUAUUGGUCAAUGGGCGAGAGACUGAACCAGCCAAGUAGCGUGCAGGAUGACGGCCCUAUGGGUUGUAAACUGCUUUUAUGCGGGGAUAAAGUGAGGGACGUGUCCUUCAUUGCAGGUACCGCAUGAAUAAGGACCGGCUAAUUCCGUG